GACCGUGUAGCUCAGUUGGAAGAGCAUUGGGCUAGUAUUCCUAAGGUCGUAGGUUCGAAUCCUACCGUGGCCG
Molecule: transfer RNA, 73 nt
Filed under: Paramuricea clavata
Lineage: Eukaryota; Metazoa; Cnidaria; Anthozoa; Malacalcyonacea; Plexauridae
Rfam family: tRNA
About the family: Transfer RNA (tRNA) molecules are approximately 80 nucleotides in length. Their secondary structure includes four short double-helical elements and three loops (D, anti-codon, and T loops). Further hydrogen bonds mediate the characteristic L-shaped molecular structure. tRNAs have two regions of fundamental functional importance: the anti-codon, which is responsible for specific mRNA codon recognition, and the 3' end, to which the tRNAs corresponding amino acid is attached (by aminoacyl-tRNA synthetases). tRNAs cope with the degeneracy of the genetic code in two manners: having more than one tRNA (with a specific anti-codon) for a particular amino acid; and 'wobble' base-pairing, i.e. permitting non-standard base-pairing at the 3rd anti-codon position.
Source: Rfam by way of RNAcentral